Olea europaea var. sylvestris is the source of this 444-nucleotide long non-coding RNA. RefSeq lists it as uncharacterized. Lineage: Eukaryota; Viridiplantae; Streptophyta; Magnoliopsida; Lamiales; Oleaceae. The transcript has 3 exons. The record is from RefSeq and is a predicted model, not a curated record.
GACUGGGCUUAAUAUUAAUUACUGGAUUGAAGAGCCCUAACGACCUGGGCUCCAGUGAAAUCAAAUCUAAACCUAACUACCUUCUUCUCCUCAAAUGUUUACGUGAAAUCACCGAAUUCUUCUGCCACCGUUUUAAGUAUUCUGCUUCAUCUCAAAAGCAGAAGAGGGGAGGAGAUAAAGUUUGUACGGAAGCAGAUAUCGCAUUUAGUCUUCCCCCAAUCUUUUCAUUUGUCUCACUAUCCCUGUGAUCAUCCUGCUCAGUUUUGCAACGGUACAGUAGCCUAACAACAUGAACUGCUUUGUAUUUCAUGGCGAACCUGCAGUGUAAGUACAACCUUCCCCAGAAGGAAAGGAAAACCCUAAUGGGAGAGCUUUUAGAACAGGGUAUAAGGGAGAAUACAUUAGUUGUCUAGGCGGACAAUCAGUUCAAAAGAAAAACUCACC